Molecule: ribosomal RNA, 465 nt
Filed under: uncultured bacterium
Lineage: Bacteria
Description: partial 16S ribosomal RNA
Rfam family: Bacterial small subunit ribosomal RNA
Source: RNAcentral
CCUACGGGAGGCAGCAGUGGGGAAUAUUGCACAAUGGGCGCAAGCCUGAUGCAGCCAUGCCGCGUGUGUGAAGAAGGCCUUCGGGUUGUAAAGUACUUUCAGUCGGGAGGAAGGUGUCAAGGUUAAUAACCUUGGCAAUUGACGUUACCGACAGAAGAAGCACCGGCUAACUCCGUGCCAGCAGCCGCGGUAAUACGGAGGGUGCAAGCGUUAAUCGGAAUUACUGGGCGUAAAGCGCACGCAGGCGGUAGAUUAAGUCAAGUGUGAAAUCCCCGGGCUUAACGCGGGAAUUGCCUCUGAUACUGGCCAGCUGGAGUGUGUGAGAGGGUAGUGGAAUUCCAGGUGUAGGGGUGAAAUGCGUAGAGAUGUGGAGGAAUACCGGUGGCGAAGGCGACCACCUGGCACAUAACUGACGCUGAGGUGCGAAAGCGUGGGUAGCAAACAGGAUUAGAUACCCUAGUAGUC